GCGGGCGUGGUGGAAUGGUAGACACAAGGGACUUAAAAUCCCUGGCCUAUGGCAUGCGGGUUCGAGUCCCGCCGCCCGUACCA
RNAcentral lists this transfer RNA (83 nucleotides) under Devosia pacifica. RNAcentral describes it as "tRNA-Leu". It matches the Rfam family "tRNA". Rfam says of the family: Transfer RNA (tRNA) molecules are approximately 80 nucleotides in length. Their secondary structure includes four short double-helical elements and three loops (D, anti-codon, and T loops). Lineage: Bacteria; Pseudomonadati; Pseudomonadota; Alphaproteobacteria; Hyphomicrobiales; Devosiaceae. The record is from RNAcentral.